Molecule: ribosomal RNA, 253 nt
Filed under: uncultured bacterium
Lineage: Bacteria
Description: partial 16S ribosomal RNA
Rfam family: Bacterial small subunit ribosomal RNA
Source: RNAcentral
UACGUAGGGGGCAAGCGUUGUCCGGAAUUAUUGGGCGUAAAGGGUGCGUAGGCGGCGCGGUAAGUCGGGUGUGAAAUCUCGGAGCUUAACUCCGAAACUGCAUUCGAUACUGCCGUGCUUGAGGACUGGAGAGGAGACUGGAAUUUACGGUGUAGCGGUGAAAUGCGUAGAUAUCGUAAGGAAGACCAGUGGCGAAGGCGGGUCUCUGGACAGUUCCUGACGCUGAGGCACGAAGGCCAGGGGAGCAAACGGG